GGUGAUGUAGCUCAGCGGUAGAGCACUUGCCUAGCAUAUGAGAGGCCCUGGAUUCAAUCCUCAGCACCACAU
This 72-nucleotide transfer RNA is filed under the name Ictidomys tridecemlineatus (thirteen-lined ground squirrel). Its description in RNAcentral is "Spermophilus tridecemlineatus (thirteen-lined ground squirrel) tRNA". It matches the Rfam family "tRNA". From Rfam's summary of the family: Transfer RNA (tRNA) molecules are approximately 80 nucleotides in length. Their secondary structure includes four short double-helical elements and three loops (D, anti-codon, and T loops). The record is from Rfam by way of RNAcentral. RNAcentral also lists the same sequence under 1 other name. Lineage: Eukaryota; Metazoa; Chordata; Mammalia; Rodentia; Sciuridae.